CCUACGGGUGGCAGCAGUGGGGAAUAUUGGACAAUGGGGGGAACCCUGAUCCAGCCAUGCCGCGUGUGUGAAGAAGGCCCUCGGGUUGUAAAGCACUUUCAGUGAGGAAGAACGCCUGGUGGUUAAUACCCAUCAGGAAAGACAUCACUCACAGAAGAAGCACCGGCUAACUCCGUGCCAGCAGCCGCGGUAAUACGGAGGGUGCGAGCGUUAAUCGGAAUUACUGGGCGUAAAGCGCGCGUAGGUGGCUUGAUAAGCCGGUUGUGAAAGCCCCGGGCUCAACCUGGGAACGGCAUCCGGAACUGUCAAGCUAGAGUGCAGGAGAGGAAGGUAGAAUUCCCAGUGUAGCGGUGAAAUGCGUAGAGAUCGGGAGGAAUACCAGUGGCGAAGGCGGCCUUCUGGACUGAAACUGACACUGAGGUGCGAAAGCGUGGGUAGCAAACAGGAUUAGAUACCCCUGUAGUC
This 465-nucleotide ribosomal RNA is filed under the name Vreelandella stevensii. Its description in RNAcentral is "partial 16S ribosomal RNA". It matches the Rfam family "Bacterial small subunit ribosomal RNA", at positions 338 to 795 of the family's 1533-position model. Lineage: Bacteria; Pseudomonadati; Pseudomonadota; Gammaproteobacteria; Oceanospirillales; Halomonadaceae. The record is from RNAcentral.